Molecule: long non-coding RNA, 1503 nt
Organism: Cyprinus carpio (common carp)
Lineage: Eukaryota; Metazoa; Chordata; Actinopteri; Cypriniformes; Cyprinidae
Source: Ensembl
AUGGAAGAUGUUUUCGAUGAUGAUGAUGAUAAUGUUUGUGAUGUAGAUGAUGCAGAUGAUAGUAUUAAAGAUGAUGACAAUAGUGGGAUUGAUGAGGAUGAUGAAGAUGAUGAGGAUUGUUUUAUUGAGUGUAUUAAAGAUGUAGUUGAUGAUGGUUUUAAUUCUGGUGAUGAAGCUUGUGAGUUAGCUGAAGAUGAUAAGGAUGAGAAAAAUGUUGCAGAGGUUGUUGAUAGUGAGGGCUGCGCUGGAAGGGUUGAUGAUGAUGGCAAUGAUAGUGGUGCUGAAGAUGAUGGUGACAGUGAUGAUGACGGUGUAGAUGAUAGUGUUGAAUGUAUUAUUGAUGCUGAUGUAAAUGUUGGUGAUGAAAAUAGUGAGGAUGGUGUGUUAGGCUGUGAGCUUGUUGAUGAUGGUACGGAUGAGAAAGAUAAUGUAGUGGUUCCUGAAAAUGAGGGCUGUGAUGGUGGGGUUGAUGAUGAUAGUAUAGGAGAUGGUGUUGAUGAUGCUGAUGAAAGUAAGGGUGAGGAACGUGAUUCAGAGGUUGUGCUAAUGGGGGUUGGUGAUAAUUUCAGUAGUGGGAGUGAUGAAGAUGGUGCUGAUGGUGAUGAAGAUGGUGUUGUUGAUAGUAUUGAAGAUGGUGGUGAUGAAGAUGGUGUAGAUAAAAGUGUUGAAGAAGAUGAAGAUGAUGAUGUCAAUAGUGGGACUGAUGAAGAUGCUGCUGUGGAUGGUAAAGAUGAAGAGGAUGGUGGAGUUGAUAUUACUGAGGAUGUUGAUAAUGAUAAAGAUGUUAAUGAUGGGGUGGAUGGUGAUGUAAGCUGUGAGUCUGCUGAUGAUGGUAAGAAUGAAGAUGAUGCAGAGGUUGCUGAUAGUGAGGGUUUUGCUGAUUGGGUUGAUGACAAUAGUGGGAAAGAUGAAGAUGUUAAUGAUGAAGAUGUUAUAGAUGAUAGUGUUGAUGAUGAUGAUGAUGGUGAUAAUGGUACUGAUGAAGAUUGUGUUGAGUAUGGUGAAGAUGAUGAAGAUUGUGAUUUUGAUGGUACUGAAGAUGGUAGUGAUGAUGACAAUAAUGGGACAGCUGAAGAUGUUGAUACAGUUGAUGAUAUUAAUGAUGGUGAUGAAGAUAAUGGGGAUGGUGAUGAAGGCUGCAUGCUUGCUGAUGAUGAGGAAGAUGUUGUAGAGGCUGCUGAUAGUGAGGGCUGUGCUGCUGGGGUUGAUGAUAAGGUUGUUGAUGAGGUUGUGGUUGGUGUUGAUGAUGUAGAUGGUGGUAUAGUUAAAGAUGGUGAGGUUGAUGAAGUUUGUGUUGAGGUUAUUGCUGAAGAUGGUGGCAUUGAGGAUGACAAUGGUGUGGAUGAUAAUGUUGAUUCUGCCGACACUGGUAAAGAUGAAGAGGAUUUUGUUGAUGUAGAAGAUGAGGAUGAUGAUGAUGGUUUAAUAGUCGGUGAGGAUGAUGACUUUGGUGAUGAUGGUGAGGUUGGCACUGAAGACUGUUGGAAUGUUGGAUGUGGCUGA